This is a long non-coding RNA of Phymastichus coffea, 1502 nucleotides long. RefSeq lists it as uncharacterized. The record is from RefSeq and is a predicted model, not a curated record. The transcript has 4 exons. NCBI's taxonomy places the organism in Eukaryota, Metazoa, Arthropoda, Insecta, Hymenoptera, Eulophidae.
GUCGAGUGUUUUAAAACACUCAAACGUCUGAAAUUGCUACGAUUUCAAUGUAGAAGAUUGUUGUUCCUUCCAAAGAUAAGGAAAGCCAUUUUUUUUCAUAUUUAUUGUUUUUACGGAAAACAAAUGGUAACAUCUCCGAAAUCUGAGACAUUCGAAACGAUUCAAACACCUUCUUCCAAUUAACAGUCUAGGUGUGAAUAAAUAUGAGAAUGCAAAGGUAAAGAAAAAAAUGUAAGUCUAAGAAAAGUAGCGUUGAAGUUGAGCGGCGUAGACAACAAAAUGUAGAUUAUCAACAAAGCCGCAGAGAAACAAGAAAAAAAUAACCCGGAUGCCCUGGAGAAGUAUCGUGAAUCUGAAAAACAAAGGUAUAACAGUUGCAAACAGAGUGGAAAAAUUAAAUUGGUACAUCAAAUGUCUUAUCUUACAAAGAUUACAUCAAAAGUAUAAAAAAUAACACAAGCAAAAUUACAGAGCUGAGCAAAAGCAGCAGUGGCUUAAUAAUGCAAAAAAUGUACCUUCACCAAUUAAACCUAUCGUUAGUAAGCAAACUGUAAGUAGGAAAAAAAUAAGCUAGAAAAUUGAGAAGAGUUUGCUAUAAAAAUAAUUCAGAAUUGCGUGUAGAGAAUGUAAAAUUACAUUCAUCAAUUCAUAAUCUGAAUAAAAGAUUGAAAUGUUUGCAGUUGAAACAACAAGUGAGAAAUGCAUUUCACCUAUCAAAAAUGUUAAAAAAUUUUUGAAUGGUAGAAAGAUUCCUGUUGAUAUUGAAAAUCGUUUACUAGAGAAUGAACUUAUAUUAAAGAAAUCUUUAAAAGUAGUUGUAUAUGGAAAUUUUAAUUAGAAAAUACAAUUUUAUGAGCUCUGUGAAAAGAAGAGUGAAAAUUCCUUACGAUGAAGGAAUCAACAGAAACGCAAUCAAUCAAAGAAUUCUUAGCAAUUUCUUAAACAAGACACUAUGAAAAAUAAAAUGAAAUGUUUUCUUGGUGACAAUAUUAGCAUAUAUCUUGGAAAGAAGGCAUGUAUUUCUAAAAACAAAGUAAAAAGACAAAAGAAGUAUUUGAAUGCAUUUUUGCGAGAUUUAUAUAACAAGUUUUUUAAACAAACUAAUUUAAAGUUAUCCUACAAAAUAUUUUGUAUUUAUAAACCAUUUUAUUUUCUACAGCCAACUGGUACAGCAAGAGACACUUGUGCUUGUGCAAUCCAUUAAAAUUUUAAAUUAUUUCUAAAUGAUUUGCAUGGUCAAAAUGUAAUUAAAAAAGAUCUUAUUAUCCAAAUAUUGAAAAUAUUCUUAGCGAUAAAGAUAGAACUGGUGAUUGUUAUAAUGUUAAGUGUUAUGUGUUUAGUCAUGAAUAAUUUGAAGUUUAAAAGAAUGUUGGUAAAAUUAUUAUAAAAUGUAUGAAAUUAUUUAGUUUUUUUAUCAAUUAAAGAAAGUUAUUUAACUUUUACUACAAUCUAUGGAUCAUUGAUUAUUUCAAUAUUAUUUACAAUCAUUAUUUAUAUGAUAA